This 31-nucleotide non-coding RNA is filed under the name Mus musculus (house mouse). The record is from RNAcentral. Lineage: Eukaryota; Metazoa; Chordata; Mammalia; Rodentia; Muridae.
UCUGAUUACCGCCGUUUAUCAGAGUCGCAGC